This 2567-nucleotide ribosomal RNA is filed under the name Pogostemon cablin (patchouli). RNAcentral's name for it is "eukaryotic LSU rRNA". The stretch from base 1350 to 2567 matches the Rfam family "Eukaryotic large subunit ribosomal RNA", at positions 1891 to 3378 of the family's 3401-position model. The record is from RNAcentral. Lineage: Eukaryota; Viridiplantae; Streptophyta; Magnoliopsida; Lamiales; Lamiaceae.
ACAAACCCAUUCAAAGGCUCCACACCCUUAGCAUCUCCACUCUUAAUUUCAGCACCGUUCGGAUUAUCACCUUUAAUAUCCACACUAUUCUUCUCAACCCCCUUAUCUACGCCUAUAUUACUAGGUUGAGCCACAACUUCCUUUUUAGGCACUUUGCAAGCACCAUUCUGAUGAACAAAUUGAUUACAUACAUGGCAAUAAGAAGGAAGUUGUUCAUAAAUAACUUGUUGCUUGAAAACCCCUCUUGGAAAUCGAAUAGUAACUUCCUCAGGAAGGUCCUUCGUCAUAUCCACAUCAAUGCGGACUCUAACAAAUGAAACUCUAUCCACAUUACCCGACUGAGCAUCAAUAUAGAUAGGGCAUCCACUGCAGAAGCAAUAGAACUUAUAUGAUGAUGUGUCCAAAAUUCCAAAGGAAGAAAAGGAAAAUAAACCUAAACAAGCACACAGGAAAUCCUUUUCUCACCAAAUUGAAAAGCUCUCAGGAGCUUUUCUUAAAGAAGAAAAUGAUUCCAAAUAGAGUAAGGUCCCAUGUGCAUAGUAAUCAUAUAUCUCACACCUCAUGUACCACAUAUAGCAUGUAACGCUCGCAUACCAGGGAACCUCCCAGAAAAGUAUCCACCCAACGUAUGACUCCAUAUAACCAAAUCAUAUUGAGGAUCAAGAACGAUAGACCCAUCAUCCGCUAGUGAAAUAUACGUAAGCAACCUUUUCUUCUCAACAUGAUUAUUAUUAACAAACUUCGAAUAAUCCAAUGGCUCAUGCACCUCUGUAGAAGCUUUCCUCGAUUUAGAGCUCCCUCGCCCACAACGCUUGAAAGCCAUCUUGCCCUUCGAAAGAGGAUUUGGUACAUGAUCAUCCACAACCCUCUCACCAUUCAAAGGAGGCCUCGGCACACUAUCAUUCGAAUCUAUCAUCCCCACAUCCUUCUUCGAAAUAUCAUCCAAAACUCCCACCGAAGAUGGAGCUUCAUGCAAUGAACCUAGAAAAUCUUUACACACUAGUGCACCCUCAUAGACCACCUCUUCCAUCUCACAAGGAACCUUAGAAGGUUUCAUAGAAGCAACAACAUUAGAAACCUCAUUAGAUUUAACGUUCUCCUAAAAAAUGAGCACAUGAUUCUUAACAUUGAUUGCAUGAGCCUCUUUUGAUGCCUUAAAAGACUCACCAAUAGCACGACUAGCCUUCUUCCCCUUUAGCCUUCUUCCCCAUCAAACAAAGGAUCAAGGGACAUGCAAGCUCUCAAACACGCCAAAAACCCUCAAGAAAACCCUACAGAAGUUGCCAGAAAAAGCACUACGGUGACCUCCACCACCAUCAACCACCACCCUCCGACGAGAUACCACCGGUUAGAAGACCAAGUAACAAAAGAAAAAUCAGAAAUCUAGAGAGAGAAAAUCUCUAAAUCUCCAGAGCACCACUCUCUUCACUUUUCCUUUUUGAGUAAUUAUAAGUAACUAUGACUCUCUUAAGGUAGCCAAAUACCUCGUCAUCCAAUUAGUGACACGCAUGAAUGGAUAAACAAGAUUCCCACUGUCCCUGUCUACUAUCCAGCGAAACCACAACCAAAGGAAUGGGCUUGGCGAAAUCAGCGGGGAAAGAAGACCUGGUUGAGCUUAACUCUAGUCCGACUUUGUGAAAUGACUUGAGAGGUGUACGAUAAGUGGGAGCCAAAAGGCAAAACUUAAAUACCACUACUUUUAACAUUAUUUUACUUAUUCUUUGAAUUGGAGGUGGGGCAUUGCCCCUCUUUUUAGACCCAAGGCUCGCCCCGACGGGCCGAUCUGGGCGGAAGACAUUAUCAGGUUGGAAGUUUGGCUGGGGCGGCACAUCUGUUAAAAGAUAAUGCAGGUGUCUUAAGAUGAGCUCAACGAGAACAGAAAUCUCACAUGGAACAGAAGGGUAAAAGCUCGUUUGAUUCUGAUUUCCUAUACGAAUACGUAUCGUGAAAGCGUGGCCUAACAAUCCUUUAGACCUUCAGAAUUUGAAGCUAGAGGUGUCAGAAAAGUUACCACAGGGAUAACUGUCUUGUGGUAGCCAAGCGUUCAUAGCGAUGUUGCUUUUUGGUCCUUCGAUGUAGGCUCUUUCUAUUAUUGUGAAACAGAAUUCACCAAGUGUUGGAUUGUUCACCCACCAAUAGGGAACGUGAGCUAGGUUUAGACUGUCGUGAGACAGGUUAGUUUUAUCCUACUGAUGGAAGUGUCGCAAUAGUAAUUCAACCUAGUACGAGAGGAACCAUUGAUUCGCACAACUGGUCAUCACGCUUGGUUAAAAAGCCAGUGGUGUGAAGCUACCGUGCGCUGGAUUAUGACUGAAUGCCUCUAAGUCAGAAUCUGAGCUAAGAUGCUAUGUAUGCGCCCACUGUCUACUCCCCGAACCGCAGUAGGGACCCCCAGGCCACUAAGGGCACGUGUCGUUGGCCAAGCCCCUAUGGCGAACGAGCCGCGUGGGCCGCCUCGAAGUAUAAUUCCAAUAGAGCGGCGGGUAGAAUCCUUUGUAGAUGACUUAAAUAUGCGACGAGGUAUUGUAAGCGGCCGAGUGGCCUUGUUGUAGCGAUCUGCUGAGAUU